RNAcentral lists this ribosomal RNA (253 nucleotides) under uncultured bacterium. RNAcentral's name for it is "partial 16S ribosomal RNA". It matches the Rfam family "Bacterial small subunit ribosomal RNA", at positions 524 to 776 of the family's 1533-position model. The record is from RNAcentral.
UACGGAGGGUGCGAGAGUUAAUCGGAAUUAAUGGGCGUAAAGGGGGCGUAGGUGGUUGAUUAAGUUAUCUGUGAAAUUCCUGGGCUUAACCUGGGACGGUCAGAUAAUACUGGUUGACUCGAGUAUGGGAGAGGGUAGUGGAAUUUCCGGUGUAGCGGUGAAAUGCGUAGAGAUCGGAAGGAACACCAGUGGCGAAGGCGGCUACCUGGCCUAAUACUGACACUGAGGCACGAAAGCGUGGGGAGCAAACAGG